GCCAGACGUGGUGGCACGCGCUCUAGUCCCAGCUACUCAGGAGACUGAGACAGAAGGAUUGCUUGAGUGAAGGAGUUCUGAGUUGUAGUGCCCUGUGCCGAUCCGGUGUCCUGCACUAAAUUCGGCAUCAAUAUGGUGAACUCCUGGGGGUGGGGAGGUGCCACCAGGUUGCCUAAGGAGGGGUGAACUGGCCCAGGUCGGAAACGGAGCAAGUGGUGAUCAGUAGUGGGAUCAUGCCUGUGAGUAUCCACUGCACUCCAGCCUGGGCAACAUGGCAAGACACAUCUCUA
This is a non-coding RNA of Otolemur garnettii (small-eared galago), 290 nucleotides long. Lineage: Eukaryota; Metazoa; Chordata; Mammalia; Primates; Galagidae. The record is from Rfam.